UACGGGGGGGGCAAACGUUGUUCGGAAUUACUGGGCGUAAAGCGUGCGUAGGCGGUGGUCCAAGUCUGGUGUGAAAUCUCCCGGCUUAACUGGGAGGGUGCGCCGGAAACUGGGCCGCUGGAGUACGGGAGAGGCAAGCGGAAUUCCAGGUGUAGCGGUGAAAUGCGUAGAUAUCUGGAGGAACACCCGUGGUGCAGACGGCUUGCUGGACCGUGACUGACGCUGAGGCACGAAAGCGUGGGUAGCAAACAGG
RNAcentral lists this ribosomal RNA (253 nucleotides) under uncultured bacterium. RNAcentral describes it as "partial 16S ribosomal RNA". It matches the Rfam family "Bacterial small subunit ribosomal RNA", at positions 524 to 776 of the family's 1533-position model. The record is from RNAcentral.